GACAGACAGCUGCACCAAUGCCAGACGAAAGGCUAAAAGUACAAAUACAUAAUAAAUUUGAUGAAAUUUCACUUUCUGUUGUCAACAUCUUUGUCGCCUGCCGUUACGCAUUGAUUGUCGAUUCCUCAUGAUUACCGGUUUCCAACCCAUACCUCGUAACAUGGCUGAACCAAAGAUAUUUACUGGCACUUUCUCGUAAUCUUCUAAUGUGCUCUACAGAGAAAAAAAUGACAUAUAUUUUUAUGAUUCAAAUGCAUAACAUAAUGUUAUUAAUAAAUAAUCAUAAAGAAGUA
Molecule: long non-coding RNA, 293 nt
Organism: Monomorium pharaonis (pharaoh ant)
Lineage: Eukaryota; Metazoa; Arthropoda; Insecta; Hymenoptera; Formicidae
Exons: 2
Source: RefSeq, a predicted model, not a curated record